UGAGAGGGCUCUCCUGGCACCAUAACCACUACAUUGUAAUGUAGUGGUUAUGGUGCUUGGGGUGUUCACUUA
Pelobates cultripes (western spadefoot toad) is the source of this 72-nucleotide non-coding RNA. The record is from the annotation of a GenBank genome assembly. Lineage: Eukaryota; Metazoa; Chordata; Amphibia; Anura; Pelobatidae.